Molecule: long non-coding RNA, 354 nt
Filed under: Mytilus galloprovincialis (Mediterranean mussel)
Lineage: Eukaryota; Metazoa; Mollusca; Bivalvia; Mytilida; Mytilidae
Source: RNAcentral
AUCCUUUUCAGAUUUGCUUUAAAUGCUUUAGUUUCUGAGAUUUUAGCCAAAAACUGCAUUUUACCCUAUGUACUAUUAUUAGUCAUGUCUGCCAUCUUGGUUGGUAGACAGGGUCAUCGAACACAUUUUUUAAACUAGCCCAGUAGUUUCAGAGGAGAAGAUUUUUGUAAAAGAUUACUAAGAUUUACGAAAAAUGGUUAAAAAUUGACUAUAAAGGGCAAUAACUCCUAAAAGGGUCAACUGACCAUUUCGGUCAUGUAGACUUAUUUGUUAAUCUUACUUUGCUUAACAUUAUUGCUGUUUACAGUUUAUCUCUAUCUAUAAUAAUGUUCAAGAUAAUAACCAAGAACAGCA